Molecule: ribosomal RNA, 679 nt
Filed under: uncultured Methanoculleus sp.
Lineage: Archaea; Methanobacteriati; Methanobacteriota; Methanomicrobia; Methanomicrobiales; Methanomicrobiaceae
Description: bacterial SSU rRNA
Rfam family: Archaeal small subunit ribosomal RNA
Source: RNAcentral
UACUGYUCAGUAACACGUGGAUAACCUGCCCUAAGGAAGGGGAUACCCUCGGGAAACUGAGGAUAAUACCCUAUAGGUUACCGAUGCUGGAAUGCUCGGUAACUMAAAGUUCCGGCGCCUUAGGAUGGAUCUGCGGCCGAUUAGGUAGUUGUUGGGGUAASGGCCCAMCAAGCCCGUAAUCGGUACGGGUUGUGGGAGCAAGAGCCCGGAGUUGGAUUCUGAGACACGAAUCCAGGCCCUACGGGGCGCAGCAGGCGCGAAAACUUUACAAUGCGGGCAACCGUGAUAAAGGGAACCUCGAGUGCCUGUACAUGCAAGACUGUMUGGGUGUCUAAAACACACCCAAAGAAAGGGCCGGGCAAGACCGGUGCCAGCCGCCGCGGUAAUACCGGCGGCUCGAGUGGUGGCCACUUUUAUUGGGCUUAAAGCGUUCGUAGCUGGGUUGUUAAGUCUCUUGGGAAAUCCGGCGGCUUAACCGUCGGGCGUCUAAGAGAUACUGGCAAUCUUGGAACCGGGAGAGGUGAGGGGUACUUCGGGGGUAGGAGUGAAAUCCUGUAAUCCUCGAGGGACCACCUGUGGCGAAGGCGCCUCACCAGAACGGCUUCGACAGUGAGGGACGAAAGCUGGGGGAGCAAACCGGAUUAGAUACCCGGGUAGUCCCAGCCGUAAACGAUGUGCG